RNAcentral lists this long non-coding RNA (225 nucleotides) under Elaeis guineensis (African oil palm). RNAcentral describes it as "long non-coding RNA (EGUI_LNC004297)". Lineage: Eukaryota; Viridiplantae; Streptophyta; Magnoliopsida; Arecales; Arecaceae. The record is from RNAcentral.
CUUCAGGAUUUAGGCGACUAGUUUAUUUUUAUUUUUAUUUUUCUCUUUGCAUUACCUAGUUGUGUUUUGACUGCAUCAUGACUCAUGCCCAACUAUGCUAGGUCGUUGUUUGCCAACUGGUCCAAGUGCUUUCUAACCUCUAACUUUAAAUACUUAUGAAAAUAACUCUAGGUUCUUGAACUAAGGGCUUGGCUUGAUCCAAUUUUAUCAAAAGGCUAGAAAUGU